GACGAACGCUGGCGGCGUGCUUAACACAUGCAAGUCGAACGGAAAGGCCCUGCUUUUGUGGGGUGCUCGAGUGGCGAACGGGUGAGUAACACGUGAGUAACCUGCCCUUGACUUUGGGAUAACUUCAGGAAACUGGGGCUAAUACCGGAUAGGAGCUCCUGCUGCAUGGUGGGGGUUGGAAAGUUUCGGCGGUUGGGGAUGGACUCGCGGCUUAUCAGCUUGUUGGUGGGGUAGUGGCUUACCAAGGCUUUGACGGGUAGCCGGCCUGAGAGGGUGACCGGCCACAUUGGGACUGAGAAACGGCCCAGAAUCCCACGGGAGGCAGCAGGGGGGAAUAUUGCAAAAUGGGCCGAAGCCUGAUGCAGCAACGCCGCGUGCGGGAUGACGGCCUUCGGGUUGUAAACCGCUUUCGCCUGUGACGAAGCGUGAGUGACGGUAAUGGGUAAAGAAGCACCGGCUAACUACGUG
RNAcentral lists this ribosomal RNA (468 nucleotides) under uncultured bacterium. RNAcentral describes it as "partial 16S ribosomal RNA". It matches the Rfam family "Bacterial small subunit ribosomal RNA", at positions 28 to 507 of the family's 1533-position model. The record is from RNAcentral.